UGUCCAUCAUCUUACGGUAAUACCUAAGGCUAUCUUAAAAUUACAGUUAUUCAACACAAUGCCUGUCUUUUUUCUAUGAUAUCGGAAGCACUUGGCUUACAAUUGUCAAUAUUCGUUUUAUCGAAUCAUUCAUUUCUUUAGCAUUAAAAUAAGUUUUAUUAAGAAAUAUACUACUGGUAAAAAAAAGCUAGGCAGUCUAAGUAAGAAUUAAUUACAUUAUAUUUUGAAACAAAUAAUAAAUUAAUUCAUUCAAUGUAAAAAGACUGGUACUAAAAUCGUUAUAAACUAAAUCCAACCAAGUAAUAACUUGAGACGAUUAACAUUAAGCAUCAAUAUCGAUUGGGUCAUCAGAGGAACCUUUUCCCAUUGUUCCAUUUGUUUUGCGAGAGGCACGUAGAGAUGUACCGGCACCUUCAAACUUAAAUAAAUUGGGGUCUUUCUUAGAAUCUUCUUCAAUAGAGGGUGCUUUAUAAGGAUACCCAAAGAAGUAUGUACCCAAUGGUAGGAUCAACGGAGCAGGACAUUCUUGUUUCUCAACAUCGAGCAAAUUUAUUUUAGGCACUUCAGCAACUUCUUUACCAUUUAGUUUAGUCCCUGUUCCCUUCAUCAAAUUCGAAUCGCCCUGCCUCACCAGCUCAUCGUAACCAAUCUUGGUAACCAUCGUUCCUUGAACGCCAGCAAUAUUUUGCUGCUUGUUUUUUUGCAAACUUUCUUCAUAACCGAUGGGGGGAUCAAAAUCAACUACCAAAUCGGUUUCUACCACUGAGACAACAUGGCGGGAGUCAUCAGGUUGAACAUCUAUAACUUUUAUUUGAUAUACCUGGUCGUUAUACAAAAUCUCAAAUAUAUCAGAUUUUGUAAGCGUACUGAAAUUCCUAAGCGCAUUUUCCAAUACCGCUCUGUGGUCCGUGAUAUCAAGAAAAUUCACGCUUUGAGGCUGUAAUUUGACAUAGCUGCCCUGUGCUAUAUCAGUAUUUAUAACUCGAACCAAAUCUCCAGGCUCAAGGCUAAGUGUAGUCAUCAUCUGUGCCCUAGUUAGUACAUUUCUGACAGUCUUUAAAUUUUUUCAUACCCAAUAAGGCAGGUAGACACGUCCCUCUUCCGCAAUAAAUUCUAACACACCCCCAUGAGUUUUUUUCUCUGCAGCUUCGUUUUCAAAGUCAAAAAGCAUGGGAUAACUGACAUUCAGGCGUGCUAAUAGUUAAUUAACAGAUUUAAAAGGCUUAAUAAAUUCUCUUCGCA
Non-coding RNA from Schizosaccharomyces pombe (fission yeast), 1242 nucleotides. The record is from the annotation of a GenBank genome assembly. Lineage: Eukaryota; Fungi; Ascomycota; Schizosaccharomycetes; Schizosaccharomycetales; Schizosaccharomycetaceae.